Molecule: long non-coding RNA, 773 nt
Organism: Sorghum bicolor (sorghum)
Lineage: Eukaryota; Viridiplantae; Streptophyta; Magnoliopsida; Poales; Poaceae
Exons: 2
Source: RefSeq, a predicted model, not a curated record
UCUCGAAGGUCCUUGCCGCUGCGCCACUAAAGUAUUUUUGGUUAUACUCCAGUCUAAUUUUAGAUAAAGCUAUCAAAGGAUCUGAACCCAAGGAAUACUCAAAUGUUCCGUCGUGUGCUCCCCAGCCAAAACCACCGUCCAAUCCCUCGAUUUGCUACGAGCUUCCCGCAGCCAGUGUCCGAGAAUAUGCAGCCCGGCGAGUCCCCCGACGCUGCCGUGGCGCGCGCCGUCUGGGAGGACCUCGGCGCCCACGCCCGUGUCUGGAUCCUCGGCGCCGCCGGCGCCGGUGUCCGAGAAUAAGCGGCCCGGCGAGUCCCCCGACGCUGCCGUGGCGCGCGCCGUCUGGGAGGACCUCGGCGCCCGCGCCCGUGUCUGGAUCCUCGGCGCCGCCGGCGCCCGUGUUGUGGAGGGGGAGUUCGUGUUGCGGACACCCUAGCCGGUGACCUCUGGCCCUCGGCACUGCCCUCCGGGCGCCGCUGGCUGGUGUCGAAUUCUAUGGAGAGGCGCCAAACGGUGUGGCUGUGCUUGAUGCUAGGAUUGUGGACCGGGAUAGGGACAAUAGAGAGAUGACGCUACAGACAAGGCUAGAUGAUGGACCUGGUGACCUAAAGUUUACUGAGACCGUGUAGCAACUGAAUGCAAAGAAUGCAUUGUAGCUGUGAAAUAUGUAAAUAGAGUUCCCACUGUUGUAAAUUAUGUAGAUUGUAACUGAUCAAUGGGAUUGAGUUCCCUGGUCAAAUGUGAAUAUAUAUAUACGAGUUUGUUCAUGAAUC